This 245-nucleotide long non-coding RNA is filed under the name Lathyrus oleraceus (garden pea). RNAcentral describes it as "Pisum sativum (pea) long non-coding RNA (PSAT_LNC042084)". Lineage: Eukaryota; Viridiplantae; Streptophyta; Magnoliopsida; Fabales; Fabaceae. The record is from RNAcentral.
GAUGAUGGGCGCCACAAGCCCAUUUGCUUUGGUGGCCCAUUAUCUCUAUUUUUCUCCAUUUUCUUCUCUUUUUCUUUCCUUUUUAUUUCCUUUUUCUUUCCUUUUUGCUAUUUUCCAUUUUGCUUGCUGUAAACCUUUUAAUCGAUAAAUACCUGUAAUAAAUAUAAAAUAAUGCGUAAUAAUAAGUGUUAUCAAGUAAAAAGCAAUGCAUAUGAAGCCAAAAAUACGAUACGUUUUCGCGUUAU